This is a non-coding RNA of Armillaria mellea, 87 nucleotides long. The record is from the annotation of a GenBank genome assembly. Lineage: Eukaryota; Fungi; Basidiomycota; Agaricomycetes; Agaricales; Physalacriaceae.
GGCCUGAUGGUCUAGUAGUAUGAUUCCUUGUUAGGGUGUUGUAAUUGCCAGUCGAGGAGGUCCCGGGUUCAAUUCCCGGUCAGGCCC